UGGGGAAUUUUGGACAAUGGGGGCAACCCUGAUCCAGCCAUGCCGCGUGAGUGAAGAAGGCCUUCGGGUUGUAAAGCUCUUUCAGACGGAAAGAAAACGCCCCUCCUAAUACGGGGGGUGGAUGACGGUACUGUCAGAAGAAGCACCGGCUAACUACGUGCCAGCAGCCGCGGUAAUACGUAGGGUGCGAGCGUUAAUCGGAAUUACUGGGCGUAAAGCGUGCGCAGGCGGUUGUGUAAGACAGGUGUGAAAUCCCCGGGCUUAACCUGGGAACUGCGCUUGUGACUGCACGGCUAGAGUACGGCAGAGGGGGGUGGAAUUCCACGUGUAGCAGUGAAAUGCGUAGAUAUGUGGAGGAACACCGAUGGCGAAGGCAGCCCCCUGGGCCGAUACUGACGCUCAUGCACGAAAGCGUGGGGAGCAAACAGGAUUAGAUACCCUGGUAGUCCACGCCCUAAACGAUGUCGACUAGUCGUUCGGAGAGGUAACUCACUGAGUGACGCAGCUAACGCGUGAAGUCGACCGCCUGGGGAGUACGGCCGCAAGGUUAA
Molecule: ribosomal RNA, 551 nt
Filed under: uncultured Azoarcus sp.
Lineage: Bacteria; Pseudomonadati; Pseudomonadota; Betaproteobacteria; Rhodocyclales; Zoogloeaceae
Description: bacterial SSU rRNA
Rfam family: Bacterial small subunit ribosomal RNA
Source: RNAcentral